GCUGGCGGCGUGCCUCAGACAUGCAAGUCGAACGCGAAAGUCUCCUUCGGGGGGCAAGUAGAGUGGCGCACGGGUGAGUAACACGUAGGUAAUCUACCUUUGGAUUGGGAAUAACCACCGGAAACGGUGGCUAAUACCGAAUAAUGCAGCGGCACCUAAUGGUGACAGUUGUUAAAGCGGGGGAUCGAAAGACCUCGCGUCUGAAGAGGAGCCUGCGGCAGAUUAGCUAGUUGGUAAGGUAACGGCUUACCAAGGCGAUGAUCUGUAGCCGGCCUGAGAGGGCGGUCGGCCACACUGACACUGACAUACGGGUCAGACUCCUACGGGAGGCAGCAGUCGGGAAUUUUGGGCAAUGGGCGAAAGCCUGACCCAGCAACGCCGCGUGAAGGAUGAAAUCCUUCGGGAUGUAAACUUCGCAAGAACGGGAAGAAUAAGUAAGGGUUAAUAUCUCUUACGAUGACGGUACUGUUUGUAAGCUCCGGCUAACUCCGUGCCAGCAGCCGCGGUAAUACGGGGGGAGCAAGCGUUGUUUGGAUUUACUGGGCGUAAAGGGCGCGUAGGCGGCCACCGCAAGUCGACUGUGAAAUCUCCGGGCUUAACCCGGAAAGGUCA
Molecule: ribosomal RNA, 612 nt
Filed under: uncultured soil bacterium
Lineage: Bacteria
Description: bacterial SSU rRNA
Rfam family: Bacterial small subunit ribosomal RNA
Source: RNAcentral